UAGGGAAUCUUCGGCAAUGGGGGGAACCCUGACCGAGCAACGCCGCGUGAGUGAAGAAGGUUUUCGGAUCGUAAAGCUCUGUUGUUAAGGAAGAACGAGUGUGAGAAUGGAAAGUUCAUGCUGUGACGGUACUUAACCAGAAAGGGACGGCUAACUACGUGCCAGCAGCCGCGGUAAUACGGAAGGUUCGGGCGUUAUCCGGAUUUAUUGGGUUUAAAGGGAGCGUAGGCCGUUUGGUAAGCGUGUUGUGAAAUGUAGGAGCUCAACUUCUAGAUUGCAGCGCGAACUGUCAGACUUGAGUGCGCACAACGUAGGCGGAAUUCAUGGUGUAGCGGUGAAAUGCUUAGAUAUCAUGAAGAACUCCGAUUGCGAAGGCAGCUUACGGGAGCGCAACUGACGCUGAAGCUCGAAGGUGCGGGUAUCGAACAGG
This 430-nucleotide ribosomal RNA is filed under the name Verrucomicrobiota bacterium. Its description in RNAcentral is "Verrucomicrobia bacterium partial 16S ribosomal RNA". It matches the Rfam family "Bacterial small subunit ribosomal RNA", at positions 355 to 776 of the family's 1533-position model. The record is from RNAcentral. Lineage: Bacteria; Pseudomonadati; Verrucomicrobiota.